This 505-nucleotide ribosomal RNA is filed under the name uncultured bacterium. RNAcentral's name for it is "partial 16S ribosomal RNA". It matches the Rfam family "Bacterial small subunit ribosomal RNA", at positions 30 to 523 of the family's 1533-position model. The record is from RNAcentral.
AUUGAACGCUGGCGGUAGGCUUAACACAUGCAAGUCGAGCGGGGUGUGGUGUGCUUGCACACUAACACUUAGCGGCGAACGGGUGAGUAAAGCUUAGGAAUCUGGCUAUUAAUGGGGGACAACGUUUCGAAAGGGACGCUAAUACCGCAUGGGCCCUACGGGGGAAAGCAGGGGAUCUUUUAGACCUUGCGUUAAUAGAUGAGCCUAAGUCGGAUUAGCUAGUUGGUGGGGUAAAGGCCUACCAAGGCGACGAUCUGUAGCGGGUCUGAGAGGAUGAUCCGCCACACUGGGACUGAGACACGGCCCAGACUCCUACGGGAGGCAGCAGUGGGGAAUAUUGGACAAUGGGGGGCACCCUGAUCCAGCCAUACCGCGUGUGUGAAGAAGGCCUUAUGGUUGUAAAGCACUUUAAGCGAGGAGGAGGCUACUUUGGUUAAUACCUGAAGCUAGUGGACGUUACUCGCAGAAUAAGCACCGGCUAACUCUGUGCCAGCCGCCGCAGUAA